UCGUGCUGAUCGGGGAGUCAGCGGUUCCCUGUAGCCCGAAAUCCGCUAUACGCGGGGAUGAACGGUUUAUUGAGGAUCUGUUAUCGUGUUGUCAGCCCCUGUACUGAAGUGUUGAGAGAUCGGUCCCGCGCAGCGGAUCGCCGUGAACCAUGUCAGGCGGGGAACCGAGCAGCAUUAAGCGGAAGGGUCCGAGUGCCGCGGCAAACCGGUUUUGAGCCGAUGUUCAGAACGGCGGACGCGAUACUUUUUCGAUAUAAACCGCACGG
RNAcentral lists this signal recognition particle RNA (266 nucleotides) under Clostridia bacterium. Its description in RNAcentral is "signal recognition particle sRNA large type". It matches the Rfam family "Bacterial large signal recognition particle RNA". Rfam says of the family: The signal recognition particle (SRP) is a universally conserved ribonucleoprotein involved in the co-translational targeting of proteins to membranes. Archaeal SRP consists of a 7S RNA and homologues of the eukaryotic SRP19 and SRP54 proteins. Lineage: Bacteria; Bacillati; Bacillota; Clostridia. The record is from RNAcentral.